GUUAAACAAUUUUAAAAGAUCUGCCGCCGUCGUCACCCGUUCGCCCACAGCCGCCUUAAAACGAAUUAUAUAGACCGUCGGCGUCGGCGGGUCUUUGAUCUCGACAUUUUGAGGCCGAUAUACAACAAUCUGACUGACAUAUCCACUUCCAUUGAGCCAAUAGAGCAUCCCUUCUUUUUCAUCGAAAAAUCGAUAUGCGAUCAGUUGUCCGUUAUUAUCGUUGAUCUUGUACAGGACGUGAUCGCCCCCAUUGGGUGCACCAUUUCUUUUUUCCUGUCCGCCUUCAACGGUUUUCUUCGCACCACCGCAAGCUUUCAAAACGUCAUCAAGACUGCUGCCAAUCCGUAUCCCGUUGGUUGUACAACCUUGAUACCCGGGUAGUC
Molecule: ribosomal RNA, 383 nt
Filed under: uncultured prokaryote
Description: partial 16S ribosomal RNA
Source: RNAcentral